This 334-nucleotide unclassified non-coding RNA is filed under the name soil metagenome. Its description in RNAcentral is "partial contains 5.8S ribosomal RNA, internal transcribed spacer 2, and large subunit ribosomal RNA". The stretch from base 1 to 120 matches the Rfam family "5.8S ribosomal RNA", at positions 35 to 154 of the family's 154-position model. The record is from RNAcentral.
GAUGAAGAACGCAGCGAAAUGCGAUAAGUAAUGUGAAUUGCAGAAUUCAGUGAAUCAUCGAAUCUUUGAACGCACAUUGCGCCCCCCAGUAUUCUGGCGGGCAUGCCUGUUCGAGCGUCAUUUCAACCAUCAAGCCCUGCUUGUGUUAGGGUCCUGCGGCUGCCCGCAGGCCCUGAAAACCAGUGGCGGGCUCGCUAGUCACACCGAGCGCAGUAGCACAUCUCGCUCAGGGCGUGCGGCGGGCUCCAGCCGUUAAAGCACCCACCUUUCGCAAGGUUGACCUCGGAUCAGGUAGGAAUACCCGCUGAACUUAAGCAUAUCAAUAAGCGGAGGA